This 503-nucleotide ribosomal RNA is filed under the name uncultured bacterium. Its description in RNAcentral is "partial 16S ribosomal RNA". It matches the Rfam family "Bacterial small subunit ribosomal RNA", at positions 30 to 523 of the family's 1533-position model. The record is from RNAcentral.
AUUGAACGCUGGCGGCAGGCCUAACACAUGCAAGUCGAACGGUAGCACAGAGAGCUUGCUCUCGGGUGACGAGUGGCGGACGGGUGAGUAACGUCUGGGAAACUGCCCGAUGGAGGGGGAUAACUACUGGAAACGGUAGCUAAUACCGCAUAACGUCGCAAGACCAAAGUGGGGACCUUCGGGCCUCACACCAUCGGAUGUGCCCAGAUGGGAUUAGCUAGUAGGUGGGGUAAUGGCUCACCUUGGCGACGAUCCCUAGCUGGUCUGAGAGGAUGACCGGCCACACUGGAACUGAGACACGGUCCAGACUCCUACGGGAGGCAGCAGUGGGGAAUAUUGCACAAGGGGCGCGAGCCUGAUGCAGCCAUGCCGCGUGUAUGAAGAAGGCCUUCGGGUUGUAAAGUACUUUCAGCAGGGAGGAAGGCGGUGAAGUUAAUAACUUCACCGAUUGACGUUACCCGCAGAAGAAGCACCGGCUAACUCCGUGCCAGCCGCCGCCGUAA